GCAAGAUGCAGCUUUAAAAAUGGUAGUUAUACCCCGCAUGAUUAACUACAGGAUUUAACAUCAAAGGGGCGGACUCUUCCCCUUUGGUGUAUGCCU
The submitters of this non-coding RNA (96 nucleotides) gave its source as unclassified sequences. The record is from Rfam.